Molecule: non-coding RNA, 1432 nt
Organism: Lolium perenne
Lineage: Eukaryota; Viridiplantae; Streptophyta; Magnoliopsida; Poales; Poaceae
Source: RefSeq, a predicted model, not a curated record
GAUGAUACCAAUACCACAGUUUUCAUCUCUGCUUCCUGUAAGGAGAUUAAUUAAGCUGGAUCAUGCUCUGUAAUUAAACAUGCUUAACCAGUGGCUCCAAAUCAAUUCUUUUUUCCGAGUGAUAGCGUUGAUGACCUAUAUUAACUCCAUCGGGUCGGGGUAAGGAGUGGACAGAAUUUCUUGUAAAUUGCACGACUGCGACCGUCGUUUCCAUCCUACUAGAACGAUUCAGGUCAAUGCAUAGCUUUUGCCAAGUAGUAGCGGUCAGCAAUUCACCAUUUCUUUUUCGAAAGCGUUUGGGGAACACUACAAGUCAAUGGCCGCCCGCGUUAAGCAUGCCCGCCUCCGUAAUUCAUUAGUGCCCGGUUGAAUAAUCACCAUUCACCUUUUUGGUGGUGCCGAUUUUCGUCAAAAGGCGUAAUGUACCGGGUGGGGAACGGGGCCACGUCACGUGAGGCCUUCCUAUUGGCACGGCAAAGUUAUGUUUUGACUUGGGGUUAAGCCUCGCCCUCGCCUCGUUUAGGUAGGUAGCAUAGCAUGAUCAACUAUCUCAUGAGGAGUCAUGGCAUUUAUCUCUGACGGUACACGACAUCGUUAAAGCGGCGAUUCAUUGGCGCGAUGCGAUCGCGUGCGUUUAUUUGCGCAGAACCGCCAAACAAAGAUGUUACUAGAAUUUCGAUUAUUUGCACGCACACGGUAGCGUUAACGGCCUUGUCAUCUAAUAAACAUAGAUUAUUUGCACGCAUGGUUAUUUGCAGAUAAGCAUACACGAUAGCAUCGCGUCAAAGAAAACACAACUUUAACGCUAUCGUGUAGGGCAAACAAUCACAUUUCCAAGUAAAUCGUGGCAAAUGUACCCGCUAUCGUGUACGUUGAAGCCGCGUUUCGUUAGUGAUGCUUUAUGUAUCUUUCGGUGUUGAUGUGUGUGGAUGCUUGGGGGUUAUGUUUUAGGUAGCAUAGCAUGAUCUGUGCCAUGAGGAGUCAUGGCAUUUAUAGUUGAUGGUUAUGUUAUAACAGUACACCACUCGCUAUCGUGUACGUCAAAGCUGCAUUUCGUUAGUGAUGCUUUAUGUGUUUUCCAUUGUUCAUGUGUUGAAUUCUUGGGUGGUUUGUUUUAAUGUAUUGCCUUUUCUGAUUUUUUUUUUAUAGCAGUGAUAAUUAGUAAAUCUUCCUUAGCUCAAUGUGAUAAGGGCAUCUGAAGUUAACCUUCCUUAUUAACUCCAAUGCAACAGACCAGAACCCCAAAGUAGGAACCAAAGCAUAUUCUAGGUUCAUCUCCAAAGCUAGAAACGUCUUUUUGAAGAAAAAGAUUCAUGAACAAGUAGAUGAGUACAAGCUACUAUAGCAGUAGUAGUAACUUGGGCAGGGAAUUAUUGUUCCUUGAGCGAUCAGCCAUUGCCAUUUGAGUUCAAUCAUGAAACUUACAGAGGAA